Molecule: ribosomal RNA, 489 nt
Filed under: uncultured bacterium
Lineage: Bacteria
Description: bacterial SSU rRNA
Rfam family: Bacterial small subunit ribosomal RNA
Source: RNAcentral
GAUGAACGCUGGCGGCGUGCCUAAUACAUGCAAGUCGAGCGAAUGGAUUGAGAGCUUGCUCUCAAGAAGUUAGCGGCGGACGGGUGAGUAACACGUGGGUAACCUGCCCAUAAGACUGGGAAUAACCCCGGGAAACCGGGGCUAAUACCGGAUAAUAUUUUGAACUGCAUGGUUCGAAAUUGAAAGGCGGCUUCGGCUGUCACUUAUGGAUGGACCCGCGUCGCAUUAGCUAGUUGGUGAGGUAACGGCUCACCAAGGCAACGAUGCGUAGCCGACCUGAGAGGGUGAUCGGCCACACUGGGACUGAGACACGGCCCAGACUCCUACGGGAGGCAGCAGUAGGGAAUCUUCCGCAAUGGACGAAAGUCUGACGGAGCAACGCCGCGUGAGUGAUGAAGGCUUUCGGGUCGUAAAACUACUGUUGUUAGGGAAGGAACAAAGUAGCUAGUUGUAAUAAGACUGGCACCUUGACGGUACCUAACCAGAAAG